This is a non-coding RNA of Ictidomys tridecemlineatus (thirteen-lined ground squirrel), 982 nucleotides long. The record is from RefSeq and is a predicted model, not a curated record. NCBI's taxonomy places the organism in Eukaryota, Metazoa, Chordata, Mammalia, Rodentia, Sciuridae.
CAAGAAGGGUGUAGGAGAGAAAGCUUAAAUCUCUUCUGUGCCUUUUCACUUAUAAAGAAAAAUGAACAUGGCAGAAGUGUUCCUGAUUAGAUCCGGAGAAAAAGGAUGAAGUAUUCUUGCUAGAUGAAUCAGGAGAGAUGAUGUUCUGUCAUUCUUUAGAUAUAGACCUGAAAUACGAACUUUAAAUUUAUGGUUGCUGGUAUGAGCCAUGGUUCUCUAUUUACCCAGUUAGCGCAUUUGGGUGAAGCAUGAAGAGUGGGUCUUCCAAUUGGUUACUUUAUCACACUGACGAUUUCAGAUGCUGUAAUCACUCUUACCCCUUAGGAUGGGGGAAAAAAAUGGAUCUCACAAGUCUUCUUAUCAGAUCACCAUAGUUUGAUUCAUCUUCAUGAGAGUUGUCUGCCUGGUUGUUCAUUGCUGCUGUCUACUCAUCUGGACAUUUUCAUAUGAUGCAAACAGUGAUGGCGACUGUGAAUGUCAUCCACAAUUGUCAUACUGAGAGACUAGUCUAGGAUACAUCUUCAAAAGAAGAACGACGACAGUAAGCAAGAGGCAAGUAAACAAAGAAACAAAAUCACAAAUGAUUUAAGACACUUCAGUGGGGGUCCAGAGUUUUUGACAUUUUGCCUGACCUGUGCCUCUCAUUUCUCUGGCCCUGGAGCUGUUAUCAACAUUUAGAACCAUCCAGGAAACCAGGACUCCUUGUCUGGGAGGCUCAUUGCAUUUUAGAGGAGAAAGCAGUCAGCACAGCUCCAGGACACACGCCUUCCCCUUUCCAGUAGGACAGGCAGAGCCUGACCGAAAAGAUGAAAGAUGAAACUCACAGGAAAUGUGAAUGACUUGGCAGAAGUUACUUAGCAAGUUAGUUCCAGAACAAACUAGAUUUCCUCCCAAGAGAAGGGAGACCGUGAUCCGACUUCCGUCUUCUAUGGACCAUGCAUUUGACAUGUGACUUUCCUGGAUUUUCAUAACAGGUCUGCAA